UGUCCCUCAAUGGCUCAUGCAUUAAAGGCUGUGACUUAGGACGCCCUGUAACUUUAAAUGGUGGCAUCAGAAGUUAGAUAUUAGCAGAAGUGCCUUAAAGGGGAUAUGUAAUUCUAAAACCCUCCACUUUUUCUCUUUGAUUUCUAGAUGCCAUGAACUGAACAUACCUCUCUGCCACAUGUUUUUCCAAGGUGUAUUGCACCACCACAGCCCUAUAUCAACAGAGCCAAUUGAAUAUGGACUGAAAUCUUUGAUGCUAUCAACUGAUUAAUCACACAUAUAAUAAUCCUGGAAAUACUGCUCCUUGAAGAGAUACUUACUUCCUACAAUACCAAAUGACUGUCAUGGAAAUAUAUGCAAACCAAAAAAUCCAAAUCCUGUAUAGUGAACUAUGCCCUUUAUUCAGCUCACACAGGUUGAAAUAAUAUCUUCCUGCUUUUCCUACAAUCCAGGGCCAGCAAUUAGAGAAUUUCUACAUACCAAAGCCCUGGGCUUGUUUCACAUGGAACAAUCCUUCAUCCAGUGCCCCUGCCUCGUCUCAUCUUCACUUUCUCAAAAAAAUCACAGUAAAUUUUCUUAUCCAUGACUUUGUCAUCACUUAUUCUGCUACUUUACUAAGCCUGGUACUUUCUUGUGCAGUUCUCCAGAGAUUACAGUUCUCCUUUUUCUUUUGAAUACUAUUUAUUCAAUACCAUUAAUUUCCUUAACUACUGACCUCAUCAAAGCUGAAUAAAUUCUCCAUUUUAAAUACAUAAA
Molecule: long non-coding RNA, 756 nt
Organism: Cavia porcellus (domestic guinea pig)
Lineage: Eukaryota; Metazoa; Chordata; Mammalia; Rodentia; Caviidae
Exons: 2
Source: RefSeq, a predicted model, not a curated record